Molecule: ribosomal RNA, 252 nt
Filed under: uncultured bacterium
Lineage: Bacteria
Description: partial 16S ribosomal RNA
Rfam family: Bacterial small subunit ribosomal RNA
Source: RNAcentral
UACGGGGGGGCAAGCGUUGUUCGGAAUUACUGGGCGUAAAGGGCUCGUAGGUGGCCAACUAAGUCAGACGUGAAAUCCCUCGGCUUAACCGGGGAACUGCGUCUGAUACUGGAUGGCUUGAGUUUGGGAGAGGGACGCGGAAUUCCAGGUGUAGCGGUGGAAUGCGUAGAUAUCUGGAGGAACACCGGUGGCGAAGGCGGCGUCCUGGACCGGCAUUGACGCUGAUGAGCGAAAGCCAGGGGAGCAAACGGG